AAGCCAAAUCCCUAAGUUACGAUACUCCUCUCAUCAUAGCUCCACUAAACCAAACGACAUCACUACUUCUCAUCACCGUUGCUAUCGAAUUCAACCAUUGUCAUUGUCAUCGUCGGUCUGUUAGCUGUGAAGAAGCAAGUCGUUGCCAGUUUCAUCUCCGUCAAAGGCCGGUUUCAUCUUGGUUCAAGGAUGCUGCUCGGGUUGACCGUUUUAUAGCCUGUUUGGGAGUGUGGUGAUGGCAGCCAAGCUACUAAAGUGUUUGGUAACACUUGUAGUUGGGCUUUGACAGCUUAGCAAUUUUUUUUUCCCAACUUCUACUCUAUAGUUAUAGCUUUUACUCCAUAGUUAUAGCUUUUACUCCACAGCAGCUGCAGUUUAAGAGUUACAGCACCUCACUCCCAAACACACCCUUAGUUUUCACCGCUCAUCUUUGCCAAUCAUUUUCACCGCUGAUUUCAAGCUUCUUAUCAUAGCUAAUUUAUUAUUACUUUAAUUUCAAUUUAUUUGCUUAUUACUAAUGCAAAAUUGGAUGGUAACCUACUAGGAAAAGUUUGCCAUUUGUUCAUUUUGGUCCAUACAUAUUUUAUAAAAUUACCUAUGAAUUUUGUAAUAUUCGCACAUAAGUCUCUCAUUAUUUA
Molecule: long non-coding RNA, 638 nt
Filed under: Citrus x clementina
Lineage: Eukaryota; Viridiplantae; Streptophyta; Magnoliopsida; Sapindales; Rutaceae
Description: Citrus clementina (C. clementina) long non-coding RNA (CCLE_LNC003240)
Source: RNAcentral